RNAcentral lists this microRNA precursor (77 nucleotides) under Mustela putorius furo (domestic ferret). Its description in RNAcentral is "mir-1 microRNA precursor family". It matches the Rfam family "mir-1 microRNA precursor family". From Rfam's summary of the family: This family represents the microRNA (miRNA) mir-1 family. miRNAs are transcribed as ~70nt precursors (modelled here) and subsequently processed by the Dicer enzyme to give a ~22nt product. Lineage: Eukaryota; Metazoa; Chordata; Mammalia; Carnivora; Mustelidae. The record is from Rfam by way of RNAcentral.
GCUUGGGGAACAUACUUCUUUAUAUGCCCAUACGGACCUGCGGAGCUGUGGAAUGUAAAGAAGUAUGUGUUUCAGGC